RNAcentral lists this ribosomal RNA (492 nucleotides) under uncultured bacterium. Its description in RNAcentral is "partial 16S ribosomal RNA". It matches the Rfam family "Bacterial small subunit ribosomal RNA", at positions 29 to 507 of the family's 1533-position model. The record is from RNAcentral.
AGUGAACGCUGGCGGUAGGCCUAACACAUGCAAGUCGAACGGCAGCACAGUAAGAGCUUGCUCUUACGGGUGGCGAGUGGCGGACGGGUGAGGAAUACAUCGGAAUCUACUUUUUCGUGGGGGAUAACGUAGGGAAACUUACGCUAAUACCGCAUACGACCUACGGGUGAAAGCAGGGGAUCUUCGGACCUUGCGCGAUUGAAUGAGCCGAUGUCGGAUUAGCUAGUUGGCGGGGUAAAGGCCCACGAAGGCGACGAUCCGUAGCUGGUCUGAGAGGAUGAUCAGCCACACUGGAACUGAGAAACGGUCCAGACUCCUACGGGAGGAAGCAGUGGGGAAUAUUGGACAAUGGGCGCAAGCCUGAUCCAGCAAUACCGCGUGGGUGAAGAAGGCCUUCGGGUUGUAAAGCCCUUUUGUUGGGAGAGAAAAGCAGCAGGUUAAUACCCCGCUGUUCUGACGGUACCCAAAGAAUAAGCACCGGCUAACUUCGUG